This is a long non-coding RNA of Manihot esculenta (cassava), 490 nucleotides long. RefSeq lists it as uncharacterized. The record is from RefSeq and is a predicted model, not a curated record. The transcript has 2 exons. Lineage: Eukaryota; Viridiplantae; Streptophyta; Magnoliopsida; Malpighiales; Euphorbiaceae.
GUGGAUUCGAUCCUUUCACCACUAUCUGCAGUUGUAAAAUUGUUGAUAACCAGAAAGAUCUGAACACAGGGACACACUGCCCUUUGAUCCAGAAAUUGAACGCACUCUCAGAAGACUUAGAAAGCAAGCCGCAGAAGCUUCAUCUGAAGCAAUCGAAUUUUACCAACAAGCUGCACCAAUGGCUGAACCUAUUCCACAAGAUGCUGCCCCAAAUGGACUUGCUAUCUAGAACCAAAUAGUCCAAGAAAAUCCAGCAAAUAGGCCUCAAGAACAAAGAGAAAGAACUAUGGGAGAAUUGGCAACCCCUGUAGGUAACUAUGCACCACUUUGCAUCACCUACCCACCUCUGACAGUUCCCUUUGAACUGAAGACAGGUUUGAUACACAUUCUCCCUAAGUUUAGAGGUAGAGAAAAUGAAAAUCCACACAAGCACUUAAAAGCAUUCAAUAUGAUCUGUUCAUCUAUGAAACCUCAAGGUAUCUCUGAAGAC